AACCAGUGAUGCAAUGAUUCUGCCAAAUGAUAAAAAGUGAUAUCAACUUUAAAACCGUUCCAUUUUAUUUCUGAGGUU
This 78-nucleotide small nucleolar RNA is filed under the name Microtus ochrogaster (prairie vole). Its description in RNAcentral is "Small nucleolar RNA SNORD47 (ENSMOCG00000010093.1)". It matches the Rfam family "Small nucleolar RNA SNORD47". From Rfam's summary of the family: U47 belongs to the C/D class of snoRNA which contain the C (UGAUGA) and D (CUGA) box motifs. Most of the members of the box C/D family function in directing site-specific 2'-O-methylation of substrate RNAs. The record is from Rfam by way of RNAcentral. Lineage: Eukaryota; Metazoa; Chordata; Mammalia; Rodentia; Cricetidae.